This is a non-coding RNA of Oryctolagus cuniculus (rabbit), 4672 nucleotides long. The record is from RefSeq and is a predicted model, not a curated record. NCBI's taxonomy places the organism in Eukaryota, Metazoa, Chordata, Mammalia, Lagomorpha, Leporidae.
UUUGUUCAUUCUCCUUCCUACAUGAAGGAAUAUGGAUGUAAUGGCUGGAGGGGUAGCAGUGAUCAUGACACGAAGAUGAUGAACUUUUGUGCAUGUUCAGGUGGUGGAGUAGAAACUGCACUGGAGCCCAAUUCCUUUAUGUCACCCUUAAGAAACUGUUACAUCUCAAGAUUACUGUGAUUACUGUACCCAACUUCUUCUUCUUCUUCUUCUUUUUUUUUUUUUUUGGACAGGCAGAGUUAGAGAGAGAGAGAGAUACAGAGAGAAAGGUCUUCCUUCAACUUCUUAUUAAACAAGAAAAAUCCUAGUUUUUAAAGCCACUAUUUCUUGGCACUUUUGGCCCUUACAACUGCAUGUAAUACAUUUGUCCAAAGUUAUAUACAUAAUAAGUGGGGGAUCUUGGUUUCAAACCAGGCUUAUUAGUAUCUAAAUAUUGUGCCUCUUACUAAAGAAUGUGGAGAAUCAUGGACAAAUAUUACAGCUCAAUUCUUCUGAACAGAGAUCUCCCUUAUUAACUCUUUAGUUGCCCUCUGAUCCACUUUGUACCAAGCAGGCAGGAUAAAUGCUUGAUUUGUAAGCCAGCUCCCCCUGUCCAAGGCCACGUGGUCCCAAAUAACAGCCUGGGAUUAGCACACAUCACCGGCACCUCCUCUGGCAGGGAACGAAAUGCCGCUGGCCCCACAUAAUGAGCUGAUGAAAUACACAAGCUUUUUCUUGCUCCUUGUCAAAUGAUUUCCAACCUUUCUGCACAAGAAGCCUCUUUUAUUAACUCCUCGCAAAAUACAACAUGUUUUGAAAGAUUUUGUCAGGCAAACUCUACUUAAUAAUAAAUAUUUGAUUCACUUCCCCAUUUGAAUUUAAUCAAAUGCGCACAUAACCUCCAAUCCUAGUUUCUGCUCUGCAUGACCAGUGUGAGCACGCUGAGGCUGUUGUAAUUUGAGUAGAGAAUGAGAAUACUUUGGUUUGUCUAUACAGAUUUCAAUUUUAUUGGGAUUUCAAGGAUAAUAGGAAAGUCCUGACUCCUCUGGUCUCUUUUGAAGACUGUGUGUCUGUGGUCUCUGGUGCCAGCCUAGGCUGUGGAGGGUGGUCCCGGUUCUAGAAUGUAUGGUCCACAUUUCAGGAAGUCACGAUCAAAGAGACUUUAGAAGGAGGAUGGAUUUGAUUCUGUUGCAGCUUCUUCUUGGUGUGCUGCACACUGUUUCAGAGCGAGGCUGACGCUGUGAUCACCUUGGUUGUCCUAGGCAUACCUCCCACCUGAAGUUUCAGCUACACGUGGCCCUGAAAGCCGUGUCCACACAGGUAAUCAGUCUUACUGCUUUGUUUCCCAUCGGUUGUCCUGUAGCCUUUUCCUCUAUCCCUUAUCAUGCUUGUCACAUUCAUGAUAGUUGAGUUCUGUUUGGACAACCUCUUCUGAGCACUUGUCAGGAGCCAACAUAGCCUUAGAUGCCAGGCUAUACUGAUAACUAAGAUCCCUUAUUUAUGAUUGGCUUUCUGCUCUGGUUUCUGGUUGAUAAUCAUUUGAAAACUGGACUUAAGCCCCAACAGAGUUUAUGAGACAUAAGAUAGCUAAUACUAGUCUCCUUCUACCUUCUACUGGAAUUGAAGACCUCUUGUUUCACCUCUAGUUGCUGAUGGGCUUCUGCUAUGGCCCUGACAGAAUCUUCACCCUCUCAACAUUGUAGAUCCUGCCUUUCUGCUGAGGGUAUCCUUGCUGUUCCAUCCUUCCUACCAGAUUGAGUUUCUUUGUGUCCCUCUCCUUUGAACCCUCAGUCUCUCUAGUCUAUAAAUAUUUAAAAGGCCAAGGUUUCAUUCAUGUCAGUUUCAGAGCCCCUGGAACACAGCAUAGUGGUGGCAGAUAUUGAUCAUUACUGUUGGUUGAUGAGUGCAGAUGAGUGAAUUUGAAUUGAAUCAAAGUGAGGAGAGGUGAGGUGUUAAGGGGGAGUCUGGCCAUGAUAGAGCUGAACUAUGAUGGACAUUGAAGCCACUUGUGGUGAUGCGGGAUGCAAGGGAAUCUGUGGGUGAGAUAUCGCUGUUGUCAUGAGGCCAUCCCAGGAUGAGUAAUAACUAAGUGGUGAUUUGUGAUAACAGUGGUGGAGACAGAGUCUGGUGUCGCUGGGGGACCUGAGCCAAAAAAGGAGAGGGGCUUUGAUGUUAGGAGCAUAAUGCAAUUGGCAGAGACACUGGGAGCCUGUGUGCUGACCACAGCUCUGUGGAACACAGAGGGGGAUGCAUUGAGAGUGGGCAGAUUCCACUUGAAAUGACUGCGAAGGAAAUGGGAUUAACAGAAAACAGCUCGUUCUCAGGUAAGGCAAGGCCGUUGUGGGGCAACACACGGUGUUGAGUAAUAGCACUGCAAUGGCUGCAGAGACUGUGCCUCAGCCACGCUAGACCCCAGAAUCGCUGCCUGCCUCAGCUCCCUCCACCCUGAGUGGAGCCGCUGCUGGCUUUGGCUCUGCCCCACCCGCCCACAUCCUCUCUGACAGUCCUCCUGCCCCCACCAUAGCUUUGUCUUUGAUAGCUGCCCCAGAAUCCCGCUACUUCUCUCCUCUGGGGAAGGCAGACCUCAAAAGGCAGCUCUUGCAGCUCUCCACCUCUACUUAUCUUCCCAGCCAGGACUUUAACUUAAUUUACUUCCUGACAUUUCACACUGAUAUGCAGGAACUCAUCAGUGGAGUUCUAAGUGUACACAUGACUCACGGGUUUUUUGAAGAAUGUGUGGAGGAGGGAGGACAAAAAAAUCAAGAAAAAAUGAGACGAAGAGGAUUUUAGUCAUGUAAGUCAUGAAAGAGCCUACCAGGCCUGCUUUGGUUUUGUUUGUUUUAGAAAAUGACUGGAGGCCAUGAUGUUUGAACUUUUCCAUUGUCGGAUCUGCUGAGAAUUCAAGCAGGGCUGACCCCUGGAGAUUUCUCUCUUCAGCUCCUGAGAUGGAAAGAAUGAAAGUCUGAAUCUUAUUAACCAGAUCCACAGGACUUGGACUGAAAGAAAUAUGAAAACACAAUUUCACGUUCAAGCCUGGGAAGGAAAAAUAACUUCAGAGUGAACCAGAUGUACUUUGGAAUUCCUUGAGCGGCCGCACAGCAAGACCUAGGCAGCAUGUGAAUGUGUGACUGAGAGUGUGUGUGAGCAUGAGGGAGAGUGUGUGAUUAUGUGUGUGUGAUUGUGUGCAUGAGUGAGAGAGAGUGUGUGUGUGUGUGUGUAUGUGUGAAUUGUGUGUGAAUGAGAGUGUGUGGUUGUGAGUGGUGUGUUUUAGUGGUGUUUGUGAGUGGGUGUGCGAGAGUGGUGUAUGUAUGUGUGUGAUAUGUGCAUUCAUGAGAGCAUGUGUGAGUGUGUGAGAAUGUGGGAGUGAGUGUACAUGUGUGUGAGAGUGGUGUGUGUGAUUCUAUGCAUAUUUGUGAGAAUGUGUGUGUGUGUGUGAGCGUUUGUAAAAGUGAGUUAAGCAUAGAGAUGUGUGACCUUUUGUGAGUGAAUGCGUGUGUGCAUGUGGUCAUCUGGAUGGAAAACUGGUUCUAAAAUUUUCACAAGGUCCUUUUUUAUUACCAAACUGACCAAAAAGUGUUAAAUGACCUUUGAAGAUGGAGCUUCCUUUUUACAGAAUGGGUCAUUCUGUGACAUGUUUCCUCGCCUUGGUCCCUGCCAGGAGAGGAUCUUCCUUUAUCUCUGUCUAAUUAAAAUGACUUGCGAGCAUUUUCCUACAAGCAAAGGCUCUGUCUUCCCUCAUCGAGCGAUUCAAGCCUCCCCAUCAGAAGCAGCAGAAGAAUUCCCGGCAGCUUUCAAGUGCCAGGCACAUGUUUCUGGCUGUCAAGCUUUCCAAAUGUGUGCAGGCAGUUGCGGCUGGAGCACCCUCGAUCACACCCACCACCCUCUCCCUCUCCGGUGUCUUUAGGGUUACUGAUAUUUCUCAUGAGAGUGCUAAAUUCUUAAAACUGAGGACCCCAUGUGACUGCAAUUACUAACUGAAAACUGUGGUUUCCACAAGGGUUCACUAUCUGUGGAGUGGUUCUGUGAGUUUUGGCCAAUGCAUAUUGUCACGUCUCCAUCAUUGCACAUAGGAUAGUUUCACUGCCUGUGUUACCCCUACCCUUGAACUCCUGGAAGCCUCUGAACUUUUUACUAUCUAUUUCAUUUUGCCUUUUCCAGUAUGCCAUAAAGUCAAUCACAAACUUUAUAACUCACUUCUUGUACUUAAAAAUUUGUGUUUGAGGGUCUUCUGAGUCUUUUCUUUUAAUCAUUGUGUAAUAUUCAUUGUAUAGAUGCCACAAGUCCCUUUAUCUACUCGCUGACUGGAAACAGUGUGGUUGCUUCCAGCUUUUGGCAGUUAUGAAUAAAGCUAUCAACAUUCAUGCACAUGUUUUUGAACAAACUUAAGUUUCCGGAGCAUUUGAGAAAACACUUAGGAGCGUGACUGCUGAGUUGUGUGGUAAGAGUAUCUUUAGUUUUGUAAGAAACUGGAAACGUGUCUUCCUAUGUGAUUGUACCAUUUGUGUCUCUACCAGAAAUGAGUUAGAGUUCCUGUUGUCCCACACCCUUGCUAGCAUUUUGUGUUGUGCUGUUAGCAUUUGAAAUUUUAGCCAUUUUCAUAAGUAUAUUGAGUUGUCUUAUAUACUUCUGCUGAUGCUCUCAUUUAUGACCUAAUAUACUUUUAAAAUAUAUACUUACUUGCUAUGUGAACAUU